AACGAACGCUGGCGGCAUGCCUAACACAUGCAAGUCGAACGAGACCUUCGGGUCUUGUGGCGCACGGGUGCGUAACGCGUGGGAAGCUGCACUUAGGUUCGGAAUAACUCCCUGUGAGGGGUGCUAAUAACGGAUAAUGUCUUCGGACCAAGGAUUUAUGGCUUUUGGGUGGGCCCGCGUUGGAUUAGCUAGUUGGUAGGGUAAAAGCCUACCAAGGCGACGAUGCAUGGCUGGUCUGAGAGGAUGAUACGCCACACUUGGGCUGAGGCACGGCCCAGCCUCCGACGCGAGGGAGCAGUAGGGUAUAUUGUACAAUGGGCGAAAGUCUGAUCCAGCAAUGCCGGGGAAGUGAUGAAGGGCUUAGGGUUGUAAAGCUCUUUUACCCGAGACGAUAAUGACAGUACCGGGAGAAUAAGCUCCGGCUAACUCCGUG
Molecule: ribosomal RNA, 433 nt
Filed under: uncultured bacterium
Lineage: Bacteria
Description: partial 16S ribosomal RNA
Rfam family: Bacterial small subunit ribosomal RNA
Source: RNAcentral